GAGUCAUUGGGACUCUAUUAAACCUAAAGGCGCAAUGAAAGUAAAGGCCCGCCUCGCGCGGACCGAGGGAGGAUGGGUCCGUCUCCGGGCGGACCCCGCACUCCCGGGGCGUCUCGCUCUCAUCGCGAGAAGAGGCGCACCCAGAGCGUACACGCUGGGACCCGAAAGAUGGUGAACUAUGCCUGGUCAGGACGAAGUCAGGGGAAACCCUGAUGGAGGUCCGUAGCGAUUCUGACGUGCAAAUCGAUCGUCGGAACUGGGUAUAGGGGCGAAAGACUAAUCGAACCUUCUAGUAGCUGGUUCCCUCCGAAGUUUCCCUCAGGAUAGCUGGCGCUCGCCUUUGCGAGUCUCAUUCGGUAAAGCGAAUGAUUAGAGGCAUUGGGGUCGAAACGGCCUCAACCUAUUCUCAAACUUUAAAUGGGUGAGAUCUCCGGCUUGCUUAAAGCAUGAAGCCGCGAGAGAUCGGAUCACAGAGUGCCAAGUGGGCCACUUUUGGUAAGCAGAACUGGCGCUGUGGGAUGAACCAAACGCCGAGUUAAAGCGCCAAAAUCGACGCUUAUGGGAUACCAUGAAAGGCGUUGGUAACUUAAGACAGCAGGACGG
This 603-nucleotide ribosomal RNA is filed under the name Demarziella interrupta. Its description in RNAcentral is "eukaryotic LSU rRNA". It matches the Rfam family "Eukaryotic large subunit ribosomal RNA", at positions 688 to 1248 of the family's 3401-position model. Lineage: Eukaryota; Metazoa; Arthropoda; Insecta; Coleoptera; Scarabaeidae. The record is from RNAcentral.